Molecule: long non-coding RNA, 1026 nt
Organism: Homarus americanus (American lobster)
Lineage: Eukaryota; Metazoa; Arthropoda; Malacostraca; Decapoda; Nephropidae
Exons: 3
Source: RefSeq, a predicted model, not a curated record
UAAACUACAAAACAUUAUCAAGACAGGCGGGGGGAGACGCUCUCCUACUCCUCGACCAACAUCAAAAGCCUGGACCGUUUUGGGUGGAACACGUAAUAUCAGUGACAGCGUUUUGACAAUACUUUCUUCCCCGGGCUCUUAUGUGUUACACCAUUGUGGCGGGACAAACCACAACACAAUUUGAUAUUUCCUGGAAACACUUACAAUUGUUGUCACUUUCGGUAAGGGACCAAUCUGAGCAAGUGGCGUUUUGCAGGUAGGGACCAGCUCGUGUGAGCGGAGUGGUGGUAUAGGAGUGUCAGCCGUGACAUGGGUAGGGAGAGAGUGAUGGACUGGUGGCAUCCAUGAGGUAAUGUGGGCCUGGGGGAAGUGAUGUGAUCAACAGAACAGGAGGAGGUAAUGGGCGUGACUGCGGGCGGCUGCUUGGUGUGCGGGUCCUGGGCCGGUGGUGGUGCCACGGGCCGGGUCGAGGUGAGGUGGGUGAGUCUGGUUGCCUGUGCCGUGUGCCUCCACUGCCUCAGUUCUGGGCCAGCAUCUGGCGAGGCAACACGUGCCGCUUGCGUCUCUGCCUCACGCUUACUCGCGCUCACUUUUGCGCACGUCACCCGCACCCUUGUCCGUCUGCCUGCGGUGUGACCUGACCACCGGUGACCUUGGCCGUUAUACGGUGCACCUGCUGACCCACCCUACACAAGCUUCAUCCAGCCCAGGUCACAUUCUCUGUCCUCACUCGUGUCUCAACCCUGUUGCUUCCUGGAGAUUGAUGGUGGCACCCUAGACCGGCACAUACACACACACGUACCGUACGCACAUGUUGCCGCCAGUAAGUGUGUCGGUGGCGUGAGUACCCGUGACACAGUAACUGGAGACGCCCCGGGUGCCGCCUCCUGCUGCACCGCCCCGAGACGCCGCCCAUCGUCUACACCUGACCACACGUGAGGGGAUCGUGUGAGACGCCACUGAGUAAGGUGGCGCGGGGUGACUAAGGGAGGUGUUUAUCAUAUGUUGCCCUCACUCCUUACCAAG